This 444-nucleotide ribosomal RNA is filed under the name uncultured prokaryote. RNAcentral's name for it is "bacterial SSU rRNA". It matches the Rfam family "Bacterial small subunit ribosomal RNA", at positions 355 to 796 of the family's 1533-position model. The record is from RNAcentral.
UGAGGAAUAUUGGACAAUGGUCGGAAGACUGAUCCAGCCAUGCCGCGUGCAGGAAGACUGCCCUAUGGGUUGUAAACUGCCUUUAUAUGGGAAGAAUAAGGCUUACGUGUAGGCUGAUGACGGUACCAUAAGAAUAAGCACCGGCUAACUCCGUGCCAGCAGCCGCGGUAAUACGGAGGGUGCAAGCGUUAUCCGGAAUCAUUGGGUUUAAAGGGUCCGUAGGCGGGUUUAUAAGUCAGUGGUGAAAGUCUGCAGCUUAACUGUAGAAUUGCCAUUGAUACUGUAGAUCUUGAAUCGUUGUGAAGUGGUUAGAAUAUGUAGUGUAGCGGUGAAAUGCUUAGAGAUUACAUAGAAUACCGAUUGCGAAGGCAGAUCACUAACAACGUAUUGACGCUGAUGGACGAAAGCGUAGGUAGCGAACGGGAUUAGAUACCCCCGUAGUCC